Molecule: ribosomal RNA, 253 nt
Filed under: uncultured bacterium
Lineage: Bacteria
Description: partial 16S ribosomal RNA
Rfam family: Bacterial small subunit ribosomal RNA
Source: RNAcentral
UACGGAGGGAGCUAGCGUUGUUCGGAAUUACUGGGCUUAAAGCGCACGUAGGCGGCUGUGUAAGUUAGAGGUGAAAGCCUGGGGCUCAACCCCAGAAUUGCCUUUAAGACUGCAUCGCUUGAAUCCAGGAGAGGUGAGUGGAAUUCCGAGUGUAGAGGUGAAAUUCGUAGAUAUUCGGAAGAACACCAGUUGCGAAGGCGGCUCACUGGACUGGUAUUGACGCUGAGGUGCGAAAGCGUGGGGAGCAAACAGG